Molecule: long non-coding RNA, 323 nt
Filed under: Cavia porcellus (domestic guinea pig)
Lineage: Eukaryota; Metazoa; Chordata; Mammalia; Rodentia; Caviidae
Description: lncRNA (ENSCPOG00000040467.1)
Source: RNAcentral
GCAAUAGUUGUUGCUUUCUCUUCAAGCAGUGAGUCUAAAUUAUACUUCAGGCAUAUGAAGAAUGAUUUUGGUCCAUGUCAACCCUCUGGAACUAAUCUGCAGUUUUCUGUUGCAUUUUUCCUGUCCUGAAAGGCAGCAAGGGUUUUCCAACACUUCUAGAAGGAGCUACGGAGAAAGACAUUGAACAACUAUGAACGAAUUGGACUGACACUAACUAUGUGGGCAACCUAAAACUUCCCAGAAUUGACAAAGAAGGUAAAACUCCUUGAGUCUACUUGAUACAACCAGGUAGGUACCUUUUACUUUGAGAGUCAUUUCAUAAG